GGAUAACACCUGGAAACAGAUGCUAAUACCGUAUAACAGAGAAAACCGCAUGGUUUUCUUUUAAAAGAUGGCUCUGCUAUCACUUCUGGAUGGACCCGCGGCGUAUUAGCUAGUUGGUGAGGUAAAGGCUCACCAAGGCAGUGAUACGUAGCCGACCUGAGAGGGUAAUCGGCCACAUUGGGACUGAGACACGGCCCAGACUCCUACGGGAGGCAGCAGUAGGGAAUCUUCCACAAUGGACGCAAGUCUGAUGGAGCAACGCCGCGUGAGUGAAGAAGGGUUUCGGCUCGUAAAGCUCUGUUGUUAAAGAAGAACGUGGGUAAGAGUAACUGUUUACCCAGUGACGGUAUUUAACCAGAAAGCCACGGCUAACUACGUGCCAGCAGCCGCGGUAAUACGUAGGUGGCAAGCGUUAUCCGGAUUUAUUGGGCGUAAAGCGAGCGCAGGCGGUCUUUUAAGUCUAAU
Molecule: ribosomal RNA, 465 nt
Filed under: Pediococcus pentosaceus
Lineage: Bacteria; Bacillati; Bacillota; Bacilli; Lactobacillales; Lactobacillaceae
Description: bacterial SSU rRNA
Rfam family: Bacterial small subunit ribosomal RNA
Source: RNAcentral